AUUGAACGCUGGCGGCAGGCCUAACACAUGCAAGUCGAACGAGUGGCGGACGGGUGAGUAAUGUCUGGGAAACUGCCUGAUGGAGGGGGAUAACUACUGGAAACGGUAGCUAAUACCGCAUACCAUCAGAUGUGCCCAGAUGGGAUUAGCUAGUUGGUGGGGUAACGGCUCACAAAGGCGACGAUCCCUCGCUGGUCUGAGAGGAAGACCGGCCCAACUGGAACGGAGACACGGUCCACACUCCUACGGAGGGCAGAAGUGGGAAAUAUUGCACAAUGGGCGAAAGCCUAAUGCAGCAAGGCCGCGUGUAUGAAGAAGGCCUUGGGGUUGUAAGGUACGUUCAGCGGGGAGGCGUUACCCGCAGAAGAAGCAACGGCUAACUCCGUGCCAGCAGCCGCGGUAAUAC
RNAcentral lists this ribosomal RNA (406 nucleotides) under uncultured bacterium. Its description in RNAcentral is "partial 16S ribosomal RNA". It matches the Rfam family "Bacterial small subunit ribosomal RNA", at positions 29 to 526 of the family's 1533-position model. The record is from RNAcentral.